CACGCACCCAUCCACAUUGGGGCCACCACAUCCUGCUUGCCGGACCCCGCCACACGGGUGCCAGAUAU
RNAcentral lists this small nucleolar RNA (68 nucleotides) under Euglena gracilis. RNAcentral describes it as "Eg-p36 AGAUGN box pseudouridylation-guide". Lineage: Eukaryota; Euglenozoa; Euglenophyceae; Euglenales; Euglenaceae. The record is from RNAcentral.